This 253-nucleotide ribosomal RNA is filed under the name uncultured bacterium. RNAcentral describes it as "partial 16S ribosomal RNA". It matches the Rfam family "Bacterial small subunit ribosomal RNA", at positions 524 to 776 of the family's 1533-position model. The record is from RNAcentral.
GACGAACCGUGCGAACGUUGUUCGGAAUCACUGGGCUUAAAGGGCGCGUAGGCGGGCGGCCACGUCUGGGGUGAAAGCCCCCGGCUUAACCGGGGAAUCGCCCCCGAUACGGGCCGUCUCGAGGGGGGUAGGGGCGCGCGGAACUUCCGGUGGAGCGGUGAAAUGUGUUGAGAUCGGAAGGAACGCCGGCGGCGAAAGCGGCGCGCUGGGCCCACCCUGACGCUGAGGCGCGAAAGCCAGGGGAGCGAACGGG